This 2274-nucleotide long non-coding RNA is filed under the name Canis lupus familiaris (dog). RNAcentral describes it as "lncRNA (ENSCAFG00845003366.1)". The record is from RNAcentral. Lineage: Eukaryota; Metazoa; Chordata; Mammalia; Carnivora; Canidae.
UUUUUUUGACAUUUUCUUGUAAUUUCAUUUGCAGGUGGUAAACAAAUAAUAGAUUAAUAAUUAAUAAUAGAUUUUGUUUUACAACCUCAAAGGAAGGAGAUGUGGAUGCAGUAGUCAAAAGGAUGUAGACACUGAGUAGGAUCCAUGGUUCAAGUCCUAGUUUCACCAUUUAGCAGCUGAAUGACCUAGGACAAGUUAAUUUUAAGGUUUCUUAUUUUAUUUCCUCCUCUAGAAAAUAUCUAGCAUGCAGGAUGGUGAGGAUUAUAUGAAAUAACAUACCCAGAAUGUCUGACAAAAAGUAGGUAUGUAUUUUUCCCUCUUUAUGUUUUAUGUUAAAAAUAUAGUAUUUGAUUUGCUAUAUCUGAUGAUAAUGGGCUUUAAGGGAAAUCUGUAAUUAUCUAGUUUAGCCUAAAUUUUUCUCUUUAUGAGCCACUUACAUGAUUUUUCCCAUUAGCAUGAUGUUAAUUUUGACAUUUGCCUCAAAGGAUGAAAUAAAGUCUUUUAGUUCCACAACUUGGUGGAAUACACUAGUGUGAAAAUAGCCAGAGUGACAGUAACAAGAAGAGAAUUAAGUUUCAUGAGAAUGAGCAUGUGUCAUGACAUUGUAGCAUAAGGUGGGGAAAUAAGAGGUUGACUUAGAUCAAACAACACAAAAUAGAUACCCACAGGAUAUGAUUUAAACUAUUAAAGAAAUUAAACAAAUGAAUAAAGAUGUAGAAAACAUGAAGGUAAGUAGAGAACAAUACUUUUAAAUGGCAUAUUUGAAAACAGAAUAUAGAAUUUUUAAAAAUCAAAUAUAGUCAUUCAAAUUAAAAUUUAAAUAGACAUUUAGAAAAAUCUAGACAUACCUGAAUCAAAAGAUGGUAACUAAGAAAAUAGAUCUAAGGACUGUAAUAUCAGAAGGAAAAAUACAUGAAAACUAUGGAAGAUAGCUUAAAACCCCAAAAAGUUGGUAUUCAUAUCACUCAUGAAAUGUGUCUGUUCUUUAACUGCUCUACUGCCACAUAUAGGGUUACGUUUCCUGGUACUUUAUGCAUGGAUUGGUUUGCAUGAUGUGCUCUGGCCAAUGAGUAACUAGUGGGUAUUUCUUCUCAAGCAAACAUGUAAUUCUUAGAGUAUUCUUUUCUCUCUAAAUGGUAACAAGUUUCCUUAGCUUGUGACUCUGAGUAACUACAAUGAGCAGAAUAUCUUUGAUGAAUCUAAAAUUAGCAUCUAACAUGAGCAAGAAAUACAUGAGCUACUUCUUGGAUGGUUUGGACCACUGAUAUUUUGAGAACAUUUAUUACACCAAUGUAAUUUAAGCUAUGGAUUAGAAAACUGAGACCUAAGGGCCUGUCACCCCUUUUUGUAAAUAAAAUGAGCUAAACUCAUUCAUUUAGGUGAUAUCUAUCUCUUGUGUGCUGUGGCAGCAGAGUUGAAAAGUUGUGACAGGUAUUUUAUUAUAUGGUGCACAAAGCCUAAAAUAUCUGUCCCUUUAAGAAAAUGUUUGCUGACCUAGCCUAAACUCUCUGGUAAAAGUAUGGAGAGAACAAAAAUUAGCAAAUAUCAUGUACAAGUCUCAACUAAUGAUAAUUUAGAAGAAAAGGCAAAGAAAUAUCAGAGAUAUAAAAGCAGAGUAUUUUCAUAGAUUAAAAAUUAAAAAUAUGAUAAUCCAUUAAGAAUUAUGUUUCCCUUUAAGAUAAAGUUGAUCUUAGCAGACCAAUACUGGUUCCUGCUGGAAAAACUUAGAAAGUCAAGAUGAAAUUUAAAUAUAUAAAUUUGUAAAUAAAUAUAUGUGUAUAUAAAUAUAUAGACACAUAUUUGCAUAUAUAUACUCACUUCCCCUAAAGCCCAUGUGCAAAUAUAUAUUAUAUAUAUAUAUUAAUUUUUUAAGGCAUUAGAUGCUUGCCAAGAAAACAAGACUCAAAGGGCCAAAAGAGCUAGAAUCCAGGAAAAAGAGAAUCAUAGACAGAAAUGCCCAAUUCUGUAACAGCUUCAUCCUUCAAGGGUUUUGCAAAUUUCUGGUGACAAGUCAGGCAGAAGACCACUGUUAAGACAUAAAGAAACUGAGGAAUAUUUUAGAACAUAUAGGAAUUGAGAAAGCAAAUAUUUUGCUUUUGUAAAAUAUUUUGAACUGUCAAAUAACCCAGGACCUGGGUAGCCAUGAUUCUGUUGAGGAAGUAGACUCAGAGUAGUAAUGAGUAACGCCAACAUUUUGUUGGUGUCCCCAGGAAGAAUUUUCAGUGUAAAAAUGUAUCAUGGUAAAUAGCUAGUUAAAAAAAAAAAAAAAAAAAA